AUGAAAAUUAUGCAUUUUUGAGCGGUUAGAUCGAAAAGGAAUCGUAUCUUAAGGGGUUAAGGCACACGUUUUAUUCACCCCUGGAAGAAACAGUCGAUGAGAUCGAUGUCGAUUGGUCGCGUAGCGAAGGAACGCCACGUACGUCGCGCGGCGAGUUCCGUAAUUGUGGAAUAUUUUGCAAUUCGUGGAUUGGAAGGCGCCUUUCUCGAAAGAGCGUUGCUGGCAAUGCCGGUCACGUAGGCCCGUAGUUCCGAGGGUGCCCCGAGCACGGCACAGAAUACUAGAAUACUAGCGGCGGGAAUGCGCGGCGAAUACCCGCAACGCGAGUAACCGCUCGUCCGCGAACCAACGAGCCAGCGAGCAAGCGAAUCGUAUGCCCCUCACGCUUCGACGCGCCACCGUAUAUACUUGUGUAUAUAUAUGUACGCGAAUCUAUCGCAGAGGGAUUUCGAUUUUCAACUGAACGGACCAUUACCUCGCCCACGUCGCAAACGAUCGCCUAAAGUCU
Molecule: long non-coding RNA, 508 nt
Organism: Bombus terrestris (buff-tailed bumblebee)
Lineage: Eukaryota; Metazoa; Arthropoda; Insecta; Hymenoptera; Apidae
Exons: 2
Source: RefSeq, a predicted model, not a curated record